UAGAAAAUCGUAUGAAACUACGACAUAAAUGAAUAAAUAAAACCGUUUUGAACGUUUUUGAACGGUUUGAAUUUAGGAUCGAUUGUUUAACAUUUUUUCUAUCGAUAUCUAAUAUGCAAAUGCCUGACUAAUUAGAAGAUAGUGUCGUCUGCUUUUUCUUUCUUUCAUUUUGCCAUGCGUUUAGCUUAACAAGUUCCAGAAGAAGUUUGAGAUUACAAAAAGAACGGAACGAUUACUUUUAUGGAAACUGCUGCACGAAGAAUAACCCAACAAACAAAAUUAGAAAAAUGUGGUCGUCGCGUGUCAACUCUGGUCGCGUUUCUAGAUGGAAUCGCUGAGAACACACCGACUCCAUGCUGUUUUGGCGGAUUUGAGAAGCCUGAACCAGCCAUCAUAACCACAUGAUCUACAUGACCACAAGUUCAGCAAGUUUUGCUUGUGCUGGCGGAUUCUCAGAAUCAUCACUUGGAUAAACAGCAUCCCGUUUGAUUGCAGAAACUACCGGCCGAGUUACGUCUCCCUUCUUUCCCUUUCUUAAAAUGUCCUUGUGUAUGCCCAUGUGAAUGUGGGUGUAUUCACGCGGACACUCUUAUUUCUACCCUUUUUUAGCAAAUGGAUGAAGCACUUGUGGAUGGAUGCUGGCCGGAUUUCUCCGGCUUAAAGGACGAUCAUCAUUACGAUAGGACUCUUGACACCGAGUGGUUGGACCAAAGUUGGUGUACAGCAUGGGAGAACUGUGUAUAUAGCCAAACAUCCCCUACGAUACAAUACCCACAACAACAACAUACAACAGUUCAACAAAAGCAAAAAGAGAGAAGGGUCGUCUACCGACAUGUGAUGGAUGACAUUAUCACGCUCAGAAGCGAAGAAGCGCAAGACUCACGCUCGCACGUACGACCUUGCGUCUCGUCCGCCUUUUCACCCUUGAUGGAUGGAUGGAUGGCACCCUGGAGAAGAGCAAAACGUCCAUGGACGAGUGAAAAGGAUUCCGAAAAGGCCACAACGAAUUGCGAUUUCGACAAAGUCAUGAAUGAUUUUCACCCAAUAGAGAGAGAAAAUAAAAAUGGUCUAUUUGCAUGGCUGUUUCAGCAUCCGCUUUGAAAUGGAAUACUGUCGGUCACAAGACGAUUUGCUCGGCGAUUUCGCAUCAAACAAAAAUAUCAUACGUCACUAAGUAGUCUACUCUGCUAGAACAACGUAUUCUCUAACUAAAAUAAUAAGUGAAUGUCUUCUAUUGAGCUAUUAAUUAAUCUAAUUUGCAGUUUUUACUUAAUGGUUGGGUCCUCGCUUUCACUGUUUGAACGAAAAAAAGGUCGUCCUUUAACUCCUUUUGCCAUUGUUAUUUCCCAAAGCUCUAAAAUACGACGAACAGAAACAAUUAAUUGAUUUAAAAAGCAGUUAUUCUCUCCUUCCUUCUUACAAAACUCCUGAUCGAAUGAACAGCGCUAGAAGCCAAGCAGAGACUAAAAAAGCAGCUAGGGCUGAACCAGGUAAAACCCACAAGACUCUAAGGCCACAGGGGCCGUCUCAGCUGGACCACCUGAGGACCGCCUUUUCUCCGGAAAUUAAUGGAAUUGGCCGUGCAAUGAUGCUAUCUUUGUCACUUUGCAAUGUUCGAAUUUGGUGACGUUCGUGAAUUUUUAUCGACAGCCGUCCCUUUCGUCCCUUAACAGUAGAUUACUAAUAUUUUCUAAAUUUCCAUUAUCUGUUUUUUUUUUUUUUUUUUUUCAGAACUGAGCUGUUGUUUAGAGACUAUAUCUUAAGAUAGAAAUUUCAAAUAAUGAAUAAAUUUCUGAUUCACGAAUUUUUUAAAAAUAGAAUAUUCCCAAAGAAAUUUGGCAAUCAGCACAUUAUUCAUGAAUGGCCCCUUCGUCAAUUCGUUAGCUAGGACUUGCUAUGGCGCCUCGUUAUUCAUUUAUUUCUUAACUGAGUGCAAAAUCUUUAAAUCUAUUUGCCUUGCCUAUUAUAUCAGGUUUCAAAUCAUCAUUUCUGUGCUAAUAAGAAGUGGGCUACUUUGACCUCAAAUUUCAUGUGGAGCUAGCAUCAAGGCAUCCAUCCUUGAUUUCUUUCCGUACAGUCAUCAAACGAGGUAAUUGUGUAGGAAUUUUUUUGCUCCGUCAGUAGGUGGCUAAAAUCAAGUUGUCCCCCAGCCGCCAGAUGACGCUAGUGUCUUCGAGAGGACAAAAUUCGCCAUUUUGUUCCGAAACGCCAAGACCAAGUGGCAAGUGAAAAGGUAUUCCAAAUUCGUUACGAAGUUGCAGUGUCGAUCUACAUUUUCAGCAAUUGAAAUUUAAUGACAAUCUGGCAUAUAAUUUCCACUUGGCCAAAUAACCGAUCACGUGGACUGAACCUGCUUUCCAUUUUGCCAAAAUGUCGUCCGUUGUUAGGUCUACCUGUUCGUAUCGGAUGUACGUCUCAUCUCACCCAGAAACACUACAGAGGUGACAGUUGACUUGGUGUUCAGGUUGGAGAUCCUGUUGCUUUACUGUUGCAGAAUGUGAGAACUCAACAAAGUCUUAUCCCAUGGCUGGCAUCAUUACAGUGGUUUUGUUGCAGCCAGCUGGUGAAAGGUGUGAUCGAGCCAAUUUGAGCUGCAGCUGCUGCAUGCAGUUUAACAAUCUGGUGUUAUCCUCAAGUGUCAUUGCAGGAAGACUUUUUGAAAUGGACUUGGUGAUACUUAAACUAUGCCUGUGCUGUUCAUUGUGCAGUGGUUUUGCAGCCUGUUUCCAGUUGACACAUGUGAUUAUGCAGCUGAUACAGGAUUAAAGAAAAAGAACUGAAGUAGCUGUGCUGGUGUUCUCCUGAAAUUGCUGUGCCACAGGAGUUGCAGAUAGUGUUUGGUUACUUAUAGAAUUUUAUUUAAAGAGUCUGGAGAUGAUCAGCCUUCUGCCUAUAACUUUUGUAAAACUUCAAAGUUGUAAUAAAAAUACAAGUCAA
Molecule: long non-coding RNA, 2937 nt
Filed under: Daphnia pulicaria
Lineage: Eukaryota; Metazoa; Arthropoda; Branchiopoda; Diplostraca; Daphniidae
Description: uncharacterized LOC124350854, transcript variant X7
Source: RNAcentral